Molecule: long non-coding RNA, 419 nt
Organism: Corticium candelabrum
Lineage: Eukaryota; Metazoa; Porifera; Homoscleromorpha; Homosclerophorida; Plakinidae
Exons: 3
Source: RefSeq, a predicted model, not a curated record
UCCUAUUUGUAAAAUAGCAAUUGUUUUAUGAGCUGUUAAAUUUCAUAUUGACAUUGUAGGUUAUUGAAAGCUACUUGUAUCUAUUGAAGAACAGCACUCUUGACCACUCAAAUAAGAUUCAAAUGGUUGGCAGUCUGUUUAUGGAGAAACUCCGUGUCUGUGGAUACGACGGGGUGAAGACUUGAAAAAGAAAUGGACAGUGUUACAAGAAGACCUGAUUCUUUGUGUCAUCAAUGUUAAAUCCUCACAUUGGUCAUUAAUGGGAAGAGCUACUUGAAUCUCAGAUAAAGGUAUAAUGGCUUAUUUCGAAUUGGCAACUACUAGCUUGGAGAACCAAAGGCAAGAGUGAUGACUUACUAUGACUCGCUUGUUAGAGAUGGCACCAAGCCGUUUCAUCAAUUAAGGUAGGGAGACUAGUC